Molecule: ribosomal RNA, 467 nt
Filed under: uncultured bacterium
Lineage: Bacteria
Description: partial 16S ribosomal RNA
Rfam family: Bacterial small subunit ribosomal RNA
Source: RNAcentral
GACGAACGCUGGCGGCGUGCUUAACACAUGCAAGUCGAACGGAAAGGCCCUGCUUUUGUGGGGUGCUCGAGUGGCGAACGGGUGAGUAACACGUGAGUAACCUGCCCUUGACUUUGGGAUAACUUCAGGAAACUGGGGCUAAUACCGGAUAGGAGCUCCUGCUGCAUGGUGGGGGUUGGAAAGUUUCGGCGGUUGGGGAUGGACUCGCGGCUUAUCAGCUUGUUGGUGGGGUAGUGGCUUACCAAGGCUUUGACGGGUAGCCGGCCUGAGAGGGUGACCGGCCACAUUGGGACUGGGAUACGGCCCAGACGCCUACGGGAGGCAGCAGUGGGGAAUAUUGCACAAUGGGCGGAAGCCUGAUGCAGCAACGCCGCGUGCGGGAUGACGGCCUUCGGGUUGUAAACCGCUUUCGCCUGUGACGAAGCGUGAGUGACGGGAAUGGGUAAAGAAACACCGGCUAACUACGU